This 949-nucleotide small RNA is filed under the name Cryptococcus neoformans H99. RNAcentral's name for it is "Cryptococcus neoformans var. grubii H99 hypothetical RNA". The record is from RNAcentral. Lineage: Eukaryota; Fungi; Basidiomycota; Tremellomycetes; Tremellales; Cryptococcaceae.
CAAUGGCCCAGAAGUAGUAUAUUAUAAUGAGGAUGAUGGAGGGUCUAGAAAAUGUUCAACAAUGUACGUACGGUCUGAUGCGACGACAAACUGUAGUUCCGAGAACUGCGGGCUGCAAAAGUUUACAAAAUAAAAUCACUUGCACUGCAUACAGUGCGAUCUCUUCUUCCAUUUUUGACAUCUGACUUAGUUCAGAAGUAUAGCAAGGCUAUAGCAGCUCAUACAGAGCCUACACAGAGCCUGAAAAUGUCAUCUGACCAAAGAACAGUAUACAUAGCGCUGGAAAUGUCAUACGACCGAUGAACAGUAUACAUAGCGCGAAGCCGAUUUACCGAUUUAUUCUCAAGUGUUACACAAAACGAUGCGACAAAUUACGUACGCAUCAUGCUGUGGCUCCCCAAAACUCUGCGAUGUCCUUCCUCAUGAUCUACCACGACCAUCCCAAGCCCGGGAUAUCAGGUCUGUCCAGAAAAAUAAAAUCACUGUGCACCGCACCUUCAAACUAUUCAUAAUUUAGCUUUCAAUUCGCCCACCAUCUCGGUUUUUGGGUUGUUCUGGAUUGGACUUACGACGCGGAGUCGCACAUUGACUUUAUCUCUCUUCAUCCCCUCGUACAGCGUCAAGAUUUCAUCGUACAUCUUCUCUGCAGAACCUGCAGACUUUGACCCCAUGUCGAGCAAGGUGAGAGAAUGAGCCAGGGGUUGCAAGGGCGGGCGAGAAGUAGGGGUUGGUUUUGUUGGGGAAAUGACGAGUAUGGGAGGGGAUGUAGGAUGUUGCUGGGUCGAUGACGUAGUCCUGAAGUCAAGUAUGAGCACCGAUAAAACAAGGAGGAAAGAAACCCUACGGUGUAGCGAUUGGCUUUGAUACUAGGAAAUGAGCUAGUCAAAUCGCACCAUACCUACUGUAAACUCGUACCCAUGAGAGAAAGAAAAGGAAAAAUACUUUGAGG